Molecule: ribosomal RNA, 1896 nt
Filed under: wastewater metagenome
Description: bacterial LSU rRNA
Rfam family: Bacterial large subunit ribosomal RNA (bases 1-1678)
Source: RNAcentral
UAACAGUUUCUGCAACUUCUCCCUGGGGAUACCGUUAAAAUAAAAAAUCAUAAAGAGUUCGCCGCGUAUUAACAACACAUGGAAGCAUCUCUUUAAGUCAAGUCGUCUUUAACUUAAGAAAACAUGACGUUGAUGAUUUUAUAUUUGGUAUCUCCGGGGAAACCAAUUGAUUGUUGCAGUAGUAAUUUCUUCCUUCUUUUAUGAAACUCAUAAGCGGUAGGAGAGUAUUCCACUCUCGCUGUGAAGGCAAAGACGUGAGUCAUGCUGGAGCGUGUGGAAGUAAGAAUGUUGGCACAAGUAACCGCAAGUGGGGUGAGAUCCCCCACCGCCGAAACACUAAGGUUUCCUGGGCAACGUUGAUCGUCCCAGGGUUAGUCGGGGCCUAAGGCAAUGACGAGAGUCGCAGCCGAUGGACAUAUGAUUAAUAUUUCAUAACUUCUUGUAUAUUCGAUGGAGGGACGAAGAGUAGUAUCGUGGGCCACUUAUUGGAUUGUGGUAUGCAUGUCGCGCAUGAGGGAUAGGUAAAUCCGUUCCUCACAACUGUCAGGCAUGUGUCGUGUGAGGGUUCGCCCGAGCGAAGUCACGAGAGCACACUUCCGAGAAAAGCUUCUAAGAUUAGUAUGCAAGAACCCGUACCGUAAACCGACACAGGUAGUCAGGUCGAGUAGACCAAGGCGAACGAGUGAGAGUCCCCCAAGGAACUCGGCAAAAAAGCGGCCGUAACUUCGGAAUAAGGCCUGCCCCGAGCAAUCGGGGCCGCAGCUAAAGUAUCUCUGGCGACUGUUUACCAAAAACACAGCUCCCUGCGAACUCGUAAGAGGAUGUAUAGGGGGUGACGCCUGACCAAUGCCAGAAGGUCAACUACGGUUGGUGAGAUUAUAUCAAGCUGGACUGUAUAAGCCCUGGUGAAUGUCGGCGAUAACUAUAAUCGUCCUAAGGUAGCGAAAUUCCUUGUCUGGUAAGUUCAGACGUGCACGAAUGGCGUAACGACUGGGGAACUGUCUCAGGGAGUAGCUCGGUGAAAAUACAGUGGGGGUGAAGAUGCCCCCUAGCUGCAGAUAGACGAAAAGACCCCGUGAGCUUUACUCUAGCUUGGUAUUGCGAUUGUUUCCUUACUGCGUAGAAUAGUGGUGAGAGGUUUGAUGUAUAUGGUUUCGGCCGUAUUCUACUCGACAGUGAAAUAGCCAUCUGUAAUGAGGCAAUCGCUAACGUGAACGGAAAAAACGUUCGCAGACAGUAUCUGGUGGGGAGUUUAACUGGGGCGGUUUCCUCCCAAAAGGUAACGGAGGAGUAUAUUAAGGUCAUCUAGGCGCGAAUGGAAACCGUGCCGAUAGCGUAAGGGCAAAAGAUGGCUUGACUGUAAGACGGGCAUGUCGAGCAGACACGAAAGUGGAUCCUAGUGAACCUACACUACGCUUUAGACGCGGGUGCAGAUUAACGGAUAGAAGCUACCACGGGGAUAACAGGCUAGUUGUGCCCAAGAGUUCAUAUCGACGGCACAGUUCGGCACCUCGAUGUCGGCUCAUCUUAGCCUGGGGGUGAAGAAGCUCCCAAGGGUAUGGCUGUUCGCCAUUUAAAAAGAUACGCGAGCUGGGUUCAGACCGUUUAGUGGUUUUAGAGGUUUAGGAUUUAUUUUUCAUCAUAACUUUUUCUUGUAACAGAAUAAUUUCUUGCUAGAAAUUUUCUUUCUGCUCACCUUUUCACAGGUUCCGCAGAUACAAGAAAAAAUUAUGACUCAAAUAAAUUUUAUUCUAAGAACAUUAGACAAUCUGAAUCCUUAGAGGAAUUUCGUUUAUGAAUAAAGAUAGAACCAAUCAAAUCACGGCGGUCUGUCGAAAGACAGAUUAAAGUUGAUUUAUAUCGGUGAACCCCACAUGAGUGGGUAAUACCGAGGGA